CCUACGGGAGGCUGCAGUGGGGAAUAUUGCACAAUGGGGGAAACCCUGAUGCAGCGACGCCGCGUGAGUGAAGAAGCGUUUCGGCGCGUAAAGCUCUGUCAGCGGGGAAGAAACACGGUUCGCGAGAGCCGCGGACGGUACCCGACCAAGAAGCCCCGGCUAACUACGUGCCAGCAGCCGUGGGAAUACGUAGGGGGCAAGCGUUAUCCGGAUUCACGGGGUGUAAAGGGAGCGUAGACGGCGGUACAAGUCUGGAGUGAAAGGCAGGGGCCCAACCCCGAGACUGCUCUGGAAACUGCCUGGCUGGAGUACAGGAGAGGUAAGUGGAAUUCCUAGUGUAGCGGUGAAAUGCGUAGAUAUUAGGAGGAACACCAGUGGCGAAGGCGGCUUACUGGACUGUAACUGACGUUGAGGCGCGAAAGCGUGGGGAGCAAACAGGAUUAGAUACCCCAGUAGUC
This 458-nucleotide ribosomal RNA is filed under the name uncultured bacterium. RNAcentral's name for it is "partial 16S ribosomal RNA". It matches the Rfam family "Bacterial small subunit ribosomal RNA", at positions 338 to 795 of the family's 1533-position model. The record is from RNAcentral.